CAAUAGCGUAUAUUAAAGUUGUUGCAGUUAAAAAGCUCGUAGUUGGAUUUCUGGCAGGAGCACGGGUCGGCCCUCACGGGUUGUACUGUUGUUGCGUCCUGCCGUUUCGGAGGGAAUGGUCUCGCUAUUAGGUUAGUGGGGUCGGGAACUCUGUCGUUUACUGUGAAAAAAUUAGAGUGUUCAAAGCAGGCCUUCGCUGUGAAUACAUUAGCAUGGAAUAAUAAGAUAGGACUAUGGUGCUAUUUUGUUGGUUUGCGUACUAUGGUAAUGAUUAAUAGGGAUAGUUGGGGGUAUUCAUAUUCAAUUGUCAGAGGUGAAAUUCUUGGAUUUAUGGAAGAUGAACUACUGCGAAAGCAUUUACCAAGGAUGUUUUCAUUAA
Molecule: ribosomal RNA, 379 nt
Filed under: uncultured eukaryote
Lineage: Eukaryota
Description: partial 18S ribosomal RNA
Rfam family: Eukaryotic small subunit ribosomal RNA
Source: RNAcentral